Molecule: long non-coding RNA, 42506 nt
Filed under: Vitis vinifera (wine grape)
Lineage: Eukaryota; Viridiplantae; Streptophyta; Magnoliopsida; Vitales; Vitaceae
Description: long non-coding RNA (VVIN_LNC002522)
Source: RNAcentral
CAAAAUUUUGUUUUGGAAAACACAAAACCGUUCUAAAAAAUAGUUUUUAAAAACUGUUUUAAAAAACACUUCCCAAACAUGCCUAUGGUUACUCACCAAAAUUCAUGCCCACCUUUUUAACUAAUCUAAAGCCAAAAUUCUCCCCCAAACUACAUUCCACCAAAGAAUCCUACUUUUGUUGACAUCUAAGGGUUCCAUGCUACAUUUACUAGAAAUUUCUUUCUCUCUUUGGCUUUAAGAAAGGGUAGAAGGCUUUGACUACAAACAGUCUGCCUUUUCAUUCCCUCUGUACCAGUUUGUCUUCCAUACCCCUCUUCACUGAAUACUUUUUCAGUUUUUCCAUAAAGGCCUCAACAUUUUCUAGCUCCCCAUUGAACUAUCUUGAGAAACGGUGACUCCAAUGGCCUCCCUCCCCUAACUCCUCCCAUAUUUGCGGAACUCACACACCCUUUGAGGUGGUUAUGGGGAACAAUGAAGGGAAAAAGAUGCUCAAUGUUGUGACACCUCUCAACCAAGUGUCCUUCUCAAAGGUGUCCAUUGAGAAUUUUACUCUCCUUCCAUUUCCCACCUCAAAACAAGUUCUACUUUUAAAAUCCCCCCGCCCUCUUUGUAUUGUCUUCCAUACCCUAAACCCAUGCCAUCCCUUACCUCAUAAGUACCACCCCACUCUACUUUCCCAUGCUUCCCAUCAAUGACCCGCUUCCAUAGGGGCUCCUUCUCUAAAGCAUACCUCCAUUUGGUUUCCUUCAAAUGUGUGGUAGAUAUGUUGACCAUCUCAUUUGAGAACUUUGACAAUUAUCUUAGAGGUAGGGUCCUUUGGUGAGUGCCUAUCAUACCUUUCAUAUUUUCUUAUUCAUCAAAAGGUAAAAAUGUGAAGUGUAUGCAAGAAGACAUAAAAGCAAUUGGGGAGAAUACAACAAUUUGAUUCUGAUCAAAAAAAAAAAAAAGAGAAUACAACAAUUUGACCACUUUUCAAGGUAGUUAAAAGAAUUUAUAUAUUACCGCUUCCCAAAUGGAUAGAUUCUAUUGUCUUAGAAUUUGGGGCCCUUAUCAUCCCCAAAACAGAAAUGCCUUUAUCACCAGAACUACAGUGAGGAGCUGUGUGAACCACCAGGAUAGAGAGAGCACAUCAAAAUACACCGAUGUAGCAUGUGGGUUACUGGAAAGCUACACCAAUGUAGCAUGUGAGUUACUGGAAAACUAUAUUUGAUUAACAUCAAUUCAUGGAUAUUUUAAAUUUAAGUAAUUAGAAAAAACCAACAGGCCCUCAAUGACAAAAAUUUGGAUCAUGUAAAAGUUGCUCCAACUGAGUAGAAUGCCUAAACCACACACUAAUAAUAGCAUAGUGAAGUGCUCCUGUCAAUCAAGAGAGAGAUGAACAAGAAGAAGAAGAACCGCCAUGUUCCACUAUAGCAAUCUAUCUAACGCAACACCAACCAUUUAAAACCAAAUUUUGAAUCUUUUUCAGAGUGAAUAAGCUCAAUGACAAAAACACAGCAUACAAGUAAGAAAAAUAAUUAUGCAGUCAUCUAUAAAAUAGGCAAUCAGCAUUCAAACAAUGAGCACAAAAAAUUAAAUGGAAACAUUAAGCAUGAAUCUUAUAAACCAUCUGACCUCGUUAUAAGUGGUCCUUCCCUUGCUUUCCACUUUCUCACAAACUAGACACAAAAAAAACAGCACAAACAUCAAAUUAGUAUUUGCUGCACCAAGGCUCAUCUCAGCAAAGGUGAGUCAUACUCUAUCAACAUCAGAGAACUAAUUUUAGUAUGAAAUAUAUAGGUAUCAAGCCUCACAAGAACAUGAGAAUUGGAGAUGGGUGUGAAACAAACACCUUUCAUACUGAAUUGACGAAGUCCCCUACCACUCUUAUCCCCCCCAACUGCCCGUUGACCUCUUUUCUUCUUCCUGUUACUGUUGAGAACUUAUGGUCACUUAAAUUGAUAAAGAGCAACAAGCAGAAACGCAUAACCAUUAGCAUAACAUUAAGCAAUUUAAGCUCAACCACUCAGAACAAAAUUGUAAGACUAAAUAUGGCCAAAAGGACUAAUAUUAAGAAUUCCAUAUCUAAGACUUCUAGGGCAGUAUCAACUAUCAGUAGCAUGCCUAAUUGAAGUGCAAAGGAUAUAAUAUAAAACCCCAUUAUCACAAUACUCACAAUCAUAAUCAAAACCGACUCAAUAAAAACAUAAAUUUUUCACGUUUUGCAGAAGCAAUAUCAUCGUUUUUGGACCCCACAACUUCAAGAAACAAACUAAUACUAAAUAAACCACCAAUUUCAGCAGUUUCUACAAUUAUGAGAAAAAAACACAAUUCAAGGGGUUUUACCAAACUAGGCAAAGCCCUCAAAACUGAAAACUCCCACCCACGAACAAUUCAGCUUUACAUGAAUUAAAGAAAAGAUACUAAAUGGUGAAGAGAAUAAAAGACUCACGCGGCCCCUUGAGAUCCGGCAUCAUCACCGUGAAUGUCAAGAUGGUUUAAUCUAAGAAAAGUGUUUUCGCUCGCCGGUGUUGCCAAUGCGGCCUCGCUCCGGCUCGACGGCGACCCCACGCUUCCACUUGUAGACACUGACUGGCCCGAAACCGUGGUGCCCCAGGACCUCGUAGCUCCUCCCUUAGAAACGGUUGCUGGGUUCUUCUCCCCAUCUUCUUGAUGACUCCCUCCAGUCACCAUUUCUUCUAUAACCCCAAAAUUGAACCCCAAACAAGAUAUGUAUGAAGAAAAAACCCAACAAAAAUAACAGAAAAUUUCAGGGUUAGAAGAAGACCCUAAUGAGAACUUACCUUAUAGGAUCUGGGUCUUAAACAACUGAAAGGGACUGCGCAUGUACAGAGGUUGAUGAGCAUCAGUGACAAGUCUCCUCUCUCUACUCAGUGCACCAACAAAGACUGCGCUGGUGAAGCAGGCGAGGUGCGUCUCUAUUGUGCACCGUGGGUUGAAGGUGACGUGUUGAUCUAACAAGAGGGGGCGGUCGAGGAAUGGGUGAAACCACGGGUCCACCGCAUUCGGAAGAGGAACUCAGGGUUAGGCAACUGUACUGCUUUUGGGGAAAAACGAACUGCAAUUGAACAGGUGGGAGAAAUCGAGACGACGUCGUCUGGAUGGGUCUCCGAAUGCUGGAACAAAUACUAAAACAGGCGGGUUUCCGAAUGAAACGGCGUCGUUUUUCAGGAAGAUGGGACCCUUUCAUUUCAAUCCUGAGACAUGGAAGCCAAAUCAUGCGGUUUGGUGGCAUGCAAAGGCAGCAAAGCCAGACCACUACUCGGGUCGGAUGUAAAUCUGGCCCGCAGUCACUAGACCAGAUAUCUCAACCCAUGAGCCAGUCCUGAUUCAGAAAAUCGGACUUGGCCCAACCCAACUUACAACCCAAGACAAUGACCCAUAAAGCAUGUCAAACCCAAUUCAUAUCUACCUCGUAGACAAGUUAGGUUCUUGCAUUCCUAUAAAAUAUAAAUAUAUUAUAAAAUAAAAUAUUAAAAAUUAAAUAAACUCAUUAAUCUAAUAUAAUUAAAAAUAAAGAAAUGUUAAGAGUUUUUCUUAUAGCUUUUAUGUUUUCUACAUUGGAAAAUAUAUAUUUUGGUAUCAUGGUUUGAAAAUAAAUAGUAAAUAACAAUCUAUUUCAUAAAAUUAAAUUUAUUUCUAUAAAUUUGAAAAUAUUUAAAAAUUUAUUCAUUGUGAUAUUAAUUUGAAAUAUGUUUCUCAAAAUAUAUUUUUUAGUUGGACGAAGGCAAGUGUCCAAUAGAUUCUGCAUGGACUCUCUCUUUCUAUUCUUCCAACAUAAAAAAAAAAGUGUACUAAAGAGUGUCUCUUAUAUAAGUCCAAAUAUGAGAUAUAAAGGGAAGAAAAAUGAGUAGACAAGGGAGUUUGUUUUGUGUCUUUAGAAAAUCCUUAGUUUGCAAGUCAUCUCUAAAUGUAGAGGCGAUCUUAGAUGGUGUUUGUUUUUUUGGCUUUUUGCUUAAAACCAUUUAGUUUUAGAAUUUAGGUUGUUUGUUUUUUUGCUUUUUUAUUACUUAUUAUAAACUUUUUACUAAAUAGAAAAAGCCAAAAUAUGUGGCUUUUUCUAAAUAGAAAAAAUAACACAAUGAUUUUUUUUACUUUUUAAUACUUAAUAGAAAUAAAAUACUACAAAAAACAAACAACCUAAUAUUUAAUACUAUUAAGUAUUAAGGUUCUAUUUAGAAUUAAGUAAAAAAACAAACACCACCUUACCGCAUGUCUUAAUUUCAUUUGUAGGUUGAUAACAAAAGGAAUCUUACUAAUAAUAAAUUUCUCUCAUAUUCAUUAUAAUAUGAACCCUCAUACUCUAAUGAAUAUGGAUUAUCAUGUUACUCAUAGGAUGAGACUCAUGUUGUUAUUUAAAUGAGUGCAAAUUUGUCCACUUUAUUUGCCCCAUUUUCCUGCUUAAAGGUGAUUUGUCCAAAGGGCUUUCAAGCAAAAAACCACUAGGUUGUGUUGCCUUUUUUUACACUUGGUAGAAGUCUCUAGGUUUUUCAAAUAGUAAAUGGCAGCGAAAUGAUUUCUUGUAACCUUUUUAUCUUUUUCACUUUUUACUUUUUCAUUUCUUGCACUUCAGAACUUUGGUUGGUUACUCUUUUGUGUUCAUUGCUUCUUCUUUGUUUCCUAUUAUUGCAUGGUGAGAAGCUUUGGAUUUUUUAUUUAAAGGUUCUAAGUUUUACUUGUCUUUCACAAGUUUGCAAGAGUCCACUACCUAUCCUAGUUUUUGGUAAGUCUUGUAUAUUUGGUUUUUUUCUUUUUCUCUUUUUUUUUCCUGGUUAUUCUUGGUAUUUGUUUGAUGAUUUUGCUUUAUUUGAUAAACUGCCUAGGAGAUGCCCCUUGGUCUUAAGUAGAUUGGUUGUUAAAAUAUUUUUUAGUUUUUCCUUUAUUUUCCUAUUUUUCAUGUCUUUAAGGUAUUGAUGAUAAGUGGGUCCAUAUUUAUGAAAAAGUCACUUUUGUUAGUUUGGGAAAUUUGAGAUGACUAGUUUUUCUUAAUCACAAAAUUAGUAUGUUUUUUUAUAAGUUCAUCAUUUAUUUAAGAUGUCUUGAUCAAGUAUAGACCAUUCGUUUGUCUUUACCUCACCCAUGAAGGAGGUUUUGAAUUAUUUCUUUUCAAAACCUGGUAUAUCUAUUUGGAUUUUUUUUAUAGAUCUUGUUUAUUUUCUAGCAUAUAUUUAAGCAUGAGUACUUUUUUCUACAUCAAGGCCUUGUAAAUAGGGUAAAUGAGUCGAGUGGCUAUCAAUGGUGAGAUAUAAUAAAGAUGAUAAACAUUAUCGUUUACUACUUACUGUUACUCACUUGAAGUCUAUUUUGGAGCACUCGAUGUCUUUCCAUGUACAACAAAUUCCUUGUAUACAACCUUCUUCAUGAGGAUGCAAGUUCCUUAUAGCAUAGUUAGUAUAUCCAUUUCUAAGAAAGUAAGUAGGUGGAACAAGUUGAUAGAACUGCUUGAGUUGACUAGAACUCAAUAAAUGAGAUGUUUGCCUAUGGUUAAGGUUAGGACAAGUACGUCUUCUUAUGGGACUGAUGGUUGCCUGAGUUUAAAGGGAUCGAAGAUGAGUGGUCCAUCUAUAGGUUGUGCAUUAUUUUCAAUAAAAGUGUACUAAACAUUAACAAUUAGGGUUUGCAGGGCUAUUUCUCAAAUACAUCAUUUUAUUUAAGAUUUCAAUCCUCGCAUCAAAUCAACCAAUCCACCAUGUAUAUCAUUGAUUACAAUUCAAGAUUUUGGUGCAACAACAUUGAUGUCAUUUACACUUUGCUCCCCCUAAUGUGGCUUGUGUUCCUUUACAUAUUGUUUCAACUUUUCGGUUUGCAUCAUUCUUUUGACUAGGUGUUACAGGGUCUAGCAAUCAUCAGUGGCAUGGUUGUUAUCUCGGUGGUAUUCACAAAAAAUGUGAUCAAUCAUGUUGUCAAGGAUCCCCUCUCAUAAGAUGAAGUUAGGCAAAUCUUGCAAAUCCUUAGUUGAUUGGGAGGAGACGAGAAUAAGAUAUAGUUGAUUGGGAGAGGGGUGUGGGGACACCCUAUGUUGGAUCCUCUCUCAUACCCAAGCCAUUUCCUUGGGUUUUGUAGGGAAAAAUUUAUAGUACCACCUCAAUGACUAGUAUAGUCCUUUGUGUGUCAUUGACCAUCAUCAUGAGCUAGGGUCAUCAUGUGUUGGGUUGUUGCAUGAAGAUCAUCUUUCUAACAUGGAGUAUCCAUUGGUCAUUUGAAAGAGUUUUGUCUAUAAACCCUAAGGGUUUAAGGAAAUGGGAAUAAAAACCAAGGUAUUUAAGAAUAUGGCUUCUUUAAUGGCUUGCAUGACCAUGUCCAUGCUAACCUUGUCGAGUUACAAUACUGUUCCUCCAAUUUUUUCAUAAAAUCCCAAAUUGAUUCACUUCAAUCUAGUUUUAGGUGAAAUAAAUUGGCUACACUUUGCUUCGUUCUCUGAUAACAUAAAUAAUGGAUAGUGAAAAUCUCAAAUAACUCUAUAAAUGAGUUGAUUGAAUUCGCUAAUAAUUGAUAGAACUAAGAGAGUGGUAAUUUCUAUAAACUAGAUGGAAAAACUUAGCAUAAUAAAGCAUCAUUAUUACUUUCAAGAGUCAUUACAUAUUAAAAGUGUAUCAGGUGGUCAUAGGGAUCUUCGGUUCCAUCAUACAUUUUGAAUUUAAGCAUUGAAAAUUAUCGUGGAGUUUCUUUCCUUAGAAUAUGAUGCAUGAACGAUGUUGCUACCACGUCAUCCAAGAUGUAGAAGGUUGUGUUAUGUGCCUAUUCCAUUCGAGUCGUUGGUUGAACAUGACUAUACUUUAGGGUAUGGGUGAGAGUUCAUAUAACAUUAUCCUCCACUUGUUCGGUACUUGAAUGCAAGCUAGCUUUGCUCUUAGUGGGAAUGGAAGAGUUGUGUUUAGCUCCACUUUUUGGAAUAAGGAUAGGGUUUGGAAUUUAGAUUGGUUUGAUAGCAAGCAUGACAAGUUGAAAAGAAGGUUAUUGAUUUCCUAACUAGAGAGAGAUUGGUGUGUAUAAAGGAGUAUGAGUUGUUGUAGUAGCUUUUAGCAUUUCAUUAUUCUAUCGUAAGGCUUUAGUUGUGGGAAAGAGACUUUCCACCUACUUGCAGUGCUCUUGUUGUUGUUGUUGGUUUUUUUUAAUUGUCUUUCCAAUAUUGCAAAUUGUCCCUCAUUGUCAUUUGUACAUUUUUCGAUAUAUCUCUUGACGUUAUUGUGUGAAUUAGGCUUCUUAAUUCUCACAUACAACGCCAAGUGGUGUCUCUAAAAAAUCCCUAGUCUGGAGGUCAUCUUUAUAUAUAGAGAUGAUCUUAUCAUGUGUCUUAAUUUCAUUGGCAAGCUAAUAACAAAAAGGAUCUUACUAAUGCCUAUAUUCUAACGAAUACAAAUUCCAUGUUCUUGUGUUGCCCCUUUUUUGAAUGAGUCCACUUCAAAGUUGAGAACAAAAAAUUUUCUAUUUUCUCAUUCUUAUUUGACAAAAAAAAUAACAUUAUUUUUUAAUAUUUACAAUUCCAUUAAUUAAUAACAUGUUGAAUUUUAGUAUACCAAUAAAUAUUGUUUCAUAUAAAUUGAAAAAAUAUAUAAUACUUUGAAUUUUAUACAAAAAGACUUAUAUUAAUAAUUUUAAAAAUAAGAAAUUUAUUUAUUUUUCUAUUUUUUAUAAUGAAAAGCUUUUAAAUUUAAUAAAUAAAAAGAUUAAAUUUCAAAAUAAAGGAUAAUUUUUUUUUUAUUUUAAAGAUUAUUUAAAUAGAUAAUAUUUAUAUUGAUUAAUCACCACUUUGAUUGUUAUAUAUAUAUAUAUAAUAUUUCAUCCAAGUAAAGAAAUAAAAUGAAAUAGGAAAGAAAAUAAUUAAGCUUGAGAAAAAUAAAGGGCCUGUUUGGUUGCUAUUUUUGAAAACUGUUCUGGAAAACAGUUUUUGAUAACAGUUUUUAAGAACAGUUUUUGGUGUUUUAAAAAAAAAAAAUUAUGUUUGGGAACUGAAUUUUGAAAAACAGUUUUUGUUCUCAAAAACAAAAAAAACAUGUUUGGUUGAGUUAAUAAAAAAAAAAAUAGAACAAAUAAAACAAAAAACACGUUUGAAAGAUGUUUUUCUUUUCUUUUCUAAUUAAUAAAAUAUUUUCUUCAAGUAAUUUUAUAUUAUAAAUUUAUAAAUAAUUUUUAGAUAUAUAGUUUAUUUAAAUUAAAAAAAUUAUUUAUUUUAUUAAUUUAAAAAUAAAAAUAUAUUUUAUAUAUUUUUAAAAAUAAAUCAAACAUAAUAAAAUCAUUUUUAUUAAUAUUUUUUUAUUUAAUUUUUAACUUUAUUAAAAAUUAUAGCAUAUUCUAUUAAGUUGAGAUAAAAUUGUUCUCGUGAUUUGUUAAUUUUUUUUUAUCUCUACUAAAUCUAAAAUUCAAAAUGUCACCCACUUCUCUCACUCGGGCAUCAAGAACUGACAAGAAACCCUUUUCUGAAGUUGCCCUCCAGCCCGAGAGAAUCCCUAAAAGGCCCUAUUUUCCUCUGCCACUCUCAAUCCUCGCAGGUACUAAUCUAAUCAUGUUAUUAUUAUUAUUAUUAUUAUUAUUAUUUUUGCAACCCUGGUUUGAUUCCCAAGAAAAUCCAUCCCCCAUUCGAUUUCCGGGAAAAUUCAUCCUCGUUUGAUUUCCGAGAAAACCCAAGCAAAAACCCCAAGGAAAACAAAAAAAAUGGAUUUUCUUUUGCUCCCUGUGUUUUUUGGAUCCGUUUUAGGGGUCUCUUUGCUAUUGUGCCAUUGGAUUUAAAUUUUAUGAACCUUGAAUCAAAACUGAGAAACGGGAAAAAUCAAGAAGAGGCGACGUGACUGUGCUGGAGAAGAGAUGAGAACGGGAAGGAAAAAAAAACACGAAGAACAGAUGGUUUUUUUGUUAUUUAAUUUUUGUUCUGUAAAUAGUAAAAAAACGGGGAAAACAACAUUUUGUUGUUCUCUAAACAGUGCCAUUUUGAGAACAUGGGGAACAACAAAAACAAAAAUGACUCUCUCAACCAAACGAGUUUUUGGUGUUUUUUGUUUUCAAGAACAGAAAACAGUUUUUGAAAACACUAAACAAACAGGCCCAAACUCUUUUGUUUUUCAUUAGCAUAGAACAUAAAUAAUUUAGAAACAUUUUGUUUUUCUAAUAAAAUUUAUUAUAUUUCUGUUUCUUUAUGCCGCUUUUAUUACAAAUCAAGUACAAGAUGUAAAGAGUUUUCAUUUUCUUUCUCAUAUAUAAACUGUUCAGUAAUAAAGGUUGUUUCUACCGUAAAAGUGUCAACCUGAACAAGAAUGACCCGUGACUGAGUGAGAGGCAAUACUUUGAAAAUCGGACCGGUGGACUUUCCAGUCAGGUUCCCCUAUUAAAGGGUUCACCUAUUGAACCAGUCUUGAGGCGGACAAUUCUGUGAGAACCGAGUGGUUCAACACCUCCAUAGUUUUUGGCAAAAUGGAUCAGACUUCUUCAUGGCCAACGUUCAAUGCCCCCUUUUACAAGAGGGCCCAUGACUCGAACACUGAACCUCAUAGCGCAGUAGGCCGUUUGCUUUGUAAUGAAUAGAAGAGACUUAUAAAGCUCUUCACAUCUUCCAAUUCCGAUGUGGGAUCAAUGUAGGCUUGAACAAUCAGUUGCUUUGUAAUUAUUCAUUUUUAAUUAUAUAUGUUCUUUAAAUUUUAGUAAUAAUCCCAAUUCGAUUAUCGAUCCAAUCCGACCAUUAAACUGUGAACUAAUAAUUUUUCCAAUCCAAUUUUAAAAGUAUUAUUGAGAGAAUAGACAAGUAAAAAUUAUAAAGGAGAUGUUUGAUUAAAUUUCAAAUGUAAGAAGAUGAAGUGUCCGAAAUUAACCUAUAAAGAAAAUGGUUAACAUAUUUGUCCAUAAUAAAUUAUAUUAAAUGGUUUUAAAAUAUAAAUGCUCUUUCAAAUAUAUUUGUAUUACCCCUUUUAAUUAAAUAACCGUAAAAUCCAAAUUUUGCUUAUAUAGACUUCAAAAAAAAAAAAAAAGAGGAAACGGUUUUCAAAAAAAGUCUUUAAAACUAUGCAACAGACAUGUUUUCUUAAUCAUUUAAACUUUCUUUAAUUUUUUUUUUUAAAGGAUCAUUCAUAAUGUUACUACCAAAUCAUGCAUCAUUGAAUAAAAGCCAAGGAAGAGAGAGAAAACACAGAAUAUUAUGCAUUGAAAUUCUCUCACCCAUAUGAUGUAUCAUAAAUCCAAUUUUGCCGCGAUUUAUGCAUGAGGACUGACGGCUAUAUUGUUGCCUGCCCGAAAGUAAAUUUAUGGAUGACACGGAUUUAAUAGCGUUUUUUUAACUAUUCUCAGCGCUACUUGCCUCCCAACACGCAAAAUGGCCUCCGAAUGGAAAUUGACAAAAACAAGGGUACCGGGACCUUGGGAGCAUAUUAUAUGAUAGGAACGGAAAGACGGCCAACUUGUAGUUAAAAUCAGAACAAGUCAUAUUGAUUUUUUAAUUCACCGUUCCAGCUGUAUACCAGACCGUAUGCCCAUCAACAUUCUUAUCAUCAAGAGGUGACUUGUUAAAGCUGGUACGCCCAUGUGGCACAUUUACAGUAACCAGACUGACACGUGGAAAUUUUGUAAUGCAUGCACGUGUCAAUAGUCAGAGGUCCAUUUCAGGAUUAUAACAGCUCAUCACUUGGGUUCCCUGUCUUCUAGCCACUUCAUUACCAAAUGUUCUCAUAGAACACCAUCUGCUAGGAACAAAUAGAGACCUGAGCCUGAGCCCUGAGCCCUGUUUGUUAACUAUUGUCAAUAACAAGUUUCUGUUUUUUAUAACAACAAAACAAGAAAGGAUGUUUCACAAUCAAAGAAGUAUUUAAAAAAAAUAUUUUUUAGUUAUUUUUGCCAUUAUUUCAAAAAAGAAUCACAUAAAUAUAAAAAAUAAUUAAAAAUAAAACACUACAAAUAAAAUUUAUUUUUUAAACAAACAUUUAAAAACAUAAAAAAAAAAAAUGGUAAGAACAUUUCAAGUUUCAAAAAGAACUUUUAUUCUAUAAAAUAUUAAAAACUAAGAAGAUUUCAAGUUUUGAAAUAGAAUUUUUAUUCUACAAAAAUCCAAAAACAAUUUUAAAAAAUAAUUCUCAAAAAACUAUUUUCACAAUUGUUUUCAAAAACAUUUUCCAACAGCCCAAGUGGUCUCCCUUUAUUGUCUCUACAAGCAACAAUUCAGGUCAAAUCUAACAAUAAAAAAGUCAUACCAAGUAUCAAACAACACUUUGCCUGCUAGCAUCAAACCAAAGACAUAUGGUAUCUUCAUUUAAUAACAACACGAGCAAAAAUCCAUAUCAAACUCAACAACAAAAUUGGUACACAGUAUAAUACAAACUCUGCCUGCCAGCAUCAAACUAAAGACAUUCAAUGAUAUCCUGUUUAUCGACAAUGCAAGAAACAUUCCACAUUCAAUAAUGAAAAUGCUACAGCCUAUCAUGCAACAUUGUUCCUGUUAGCAUUAUUAUGGAAAAAAUGUAACGAUUUCCAUUAAAUAAGGGUGAAAGCAACAAUCAAGAUCUACUCAGCAGCAAAAAUGCUUCCAAGAAUCAUUCAAUAGCAUGUAUUGCAUGCAUCAAACUACAAAAUACGGCAAUGUCACCUUAAUGCAAUCAUCAGUAGAGAUCAAACUGUAACAAUAUUUCUUUCUAACUACCCAUGCACUUGAGAUUACAGAAAAUUGUGAUUAUUAACAUUGUAAAACAAACAAUAAUGGAACAAGUCAUUAGCUUACUAUAUCACAUCAUCUAGACUAGGAAAAAGUGAAUCAUGUCAUGAUGUGGUUCAAAUGAACUUAAGCAAAUAUCUUCAACAAACAUUCCUAUUAUCUACAUAUCAAGCCAUUCUAGUCUAUGAAAAGAUUCUCUGAAAAGUCACUUAUGAUAAAUAAAAAACUUACCUAAGAAAUUUUAUUUUCAUUUAAUAGGAUUGUAUUUUAAAUUACUAACGUUGAUGGAUCCGUCAUAUUGACCAAAAAUAUGCUGAUAAUUGAGCCCAUUGUGAUUCAGAAUUGCAAAUGCUUUAAAAAUAAUAUUAGCACUACAAGAGAGCGACAGUGAUAAUGACAUUCAAUUUUGGAUUCAUGUAAAAGAUAUUCCCUAGAUACAAGUAAACUAACUCAAAAAGGUAAACCUUACAGUUAUGUUUAACCACUUUUUGUUCCAGCAAUACAACGUAGAAUACUCCAACUUAUCUCAUUUACAAUUUUGAUUUUCAUUUAGCAUUUUUCUUUUCUUCUUGAAAAGAAGCUGUUUUUACAUUUUAAUAUGAGAGAAAACAAUUCUUAGUAAGUUCUAUAUUUAUGACAUCUACAAGUAAAUUUAUUGUCGGAUGUCAAAAAUUUACAUAAGGCGCAAUCUUGUCCUAGCUGUUGAGAUAUGCUUCUAACAAAUGGAAAUGAUGGUUGCUCUCUAUAUGAAGUAAAACAAUCAAAUUUUUUGAAACAAGAAUAAUUUUAAAAAGAACAAUAUAGUGGAAUAAAAGUCACUGAAAAUCAAUGACAAUAAAUUGACAAAAACAAAGAAUAAUCUCUCAUUCUUUUCAUAUCAAGAAGUUCAGGAGUUGAAGCUAUAUUUUAUGCAAAAUGCGUCAAUGAUUAAACAGUUCAGAAUGAAAUGAAGUUAUUUUAUUGAAAGGCAAUCAACUAAAUUAUUAUCCUUAAGACAUACGUACCUUUAUAAUAGAACCAUGGACCUAUAUGAGAUGGCAUGAGAAUUUCAUCAAUACCAUUAGCAUAGCGUUGACACUAUAUGCAGAAGUAUCACAAAGCACAUAAAUCAGCUGGUGCAUGGUAUAAUUUUGUGUGUAAGACUAAUAUCCCAUUUUUCUGAACAAUAGCAUCAAAUAUGAUACACAAUAGAUGAACAUUUUUUUUUUUUUGGUUUUGUUUUGUUUUUCAAAUAAAUACAAUAAAAGAGUGUAGAGGAACAGAGAAGGAAUGGUACAAAGGGGAUAUUUGACAUGGUUUCUGUCAAUAAAAGCAGAAUUUACUGUUAGUUUUGAACUAUCUUUGACCAAUAUUUUAUUUCUUAGAUGAAAAGGCACGGUUCUCUAAAGUAUGAUAUGUGAAGGCAGCAUGGAAAAGCAAUAUAAAUAGUUAAAAAUGACAUGUGGGAAUAUUUCAUAUAGUUCAUCUAUUCUAAAAUUAGUCAGACAAACUACUAAAAUUAUUUAGUAGACAGGAAUUAUAAUAUUCUCACACUAAUCAUAAGAGAAUGAAAUAUAGAUCUUUAAUAACUAGCAUGAAAUAUUCUCACACUAGCAUGAAUUUCGCAUAGCAAAUCAAAACUAGUAAUUUGGACCAAAAAUUCUGUACUUUUGAUCAAUCAAUCAUUGCAUGGUUAAAACAUCCAUCCAAUACCUAUACAUUAGAUGAAUGAUAAUAACCUGAAAUUUGACCAUAAAAUCUCCCCACAAGAAAAUUGGGCUUAAUUGAAUAUAUCAAGUGGAGCAGAUAAAGGAUCAAGCUAAUAUCUCACUGAAAGAGGGCUCAUAUAAACAACAUUAAUGUUCAGUCUAGUCUCAAAGAAGAGAAAAAAAAAAAAACCAUUAAGUAAGAGAUUAUAUACAGUUUUGUAGCCAACCCAGUUAGUGAUGUGUCAAUCAUAAUUCAACAGCAAAUUCAUUGACAAGGAAACCCGCAAUUUGAUUACAUGACAAUGUUAAUGCCAUCUUUCAACAUGCAUGCACACAAAAUAAGUUUUGUUUGCGGUUUACGCAAGUCUGUCCAAAAAAUGUAUGUUCUGUUUUGCAUGAGAUACGUAAGUGAAUUCUAUUUUAGGGAUUUGAUUUGGACAAUCAGUAAUUAUUCAUUUUCAAAUGGUUAGCUAUGGUAGUUCCAUAUAUUCUCUAAUUUUACUAUUACUUCUGUAAUUUCAAAUUCAACCUAGCCUUAAUUUGUGGUUCAAUUCAAUUGCCUUUCAAUUUGUUUGCUAAAAUCAUUUAGAAAAGGUCAAAAUAGAAAUAUAAUGACACCACUUAAUAGUAAAAUGUAAAUAUAUAGAUAUACAUAUUUAUUUUCCUUUUCAUGCAACUGGAAAAAAAAAAAAAAGACAAAUAAAUGGAGAAAAGCAGUUCAAUCCUUUUUUUUUUCCUCUCCACUUGGACCAAUCCACUUACUCGGCUUCCAAAAUUUUGCCUAGACAAGAUAUGCCUUAUUUGCAAGAUGGAAGACCUUGGAUGCUAGACAAGAAAUGAGAAAUGACAGCUUGAUUUCGGUUUGUAUGUAUUUGAGAUAUUGCUUUUUCUUGCUGGAUUCCAGUCUCAGAACUAGUAAAAUAUGGCAAGUUACUCAAUUUAAGUUUAUCCGCAUAAUGGAGAGAGGAGAACUUAACUACGAUUCUAUAAUAAUUCAGAGUAAAACUUCUUAGCACAUUGUCGGCAAGAAAAGCCAGAUAUCCAGCCAGCACAUUUAUACAUUGCAGCACGCCAGCUUGCAUGUCUACCGUGUGUCUAUCAAUAUCAACACUCUCAACUUGACCGUUCACUCAUCGUACUACAUUCUUCCACCUAAACCCCAAGUCCGUGUCCCCAUUGUCUCUUUAACUUUGCCCCAUUCUAUUUAAGGCGAAGCUUGCAUCCCACAAUACAGCACCCACUCGAUAGCUGUUGCCCUCAUCUCCUAUUGCUUUGAGUUGCUAUCUUCUCAGGUUCAUGUUUUGAGAAUCAUUCUUCUUCAUAAUAUAAACCCUAGUAACUAUGAGAAAUUUAGUUCUUCAAGAGCCUGAGGUGAGAGUGACCGAUGAUGUUACAAGCAGUUUGAGCUAUGCCUGGCAGUGCAUACGAGUUCCAGUCAUUGCACCACUUCUCUGGUUUGCAAUUUUCGUGUGUGCAGCAAUGUCUAUUAUGCUUUUCAUCGAGCGGGUUUAUAUGGCAAUUAUAAUCUUGUGUGUGAAGGUGAUGAGGAAGAAAAGAUACACCAAGUAUAAGUUGGACACCAUGAAAGAAGACCUAGAGCUUAAUAAAAGCUACCCCAAGGUGUUGAUCCAAAUUCCUAUGUAUAACGAAAAGGAGGUAUACCUAACUUUUCCCAAACAUUUAUUGUUGCUAGUUUUAUAUAGACUAUACACAAAACUUGCAGGGUUAUAUAUAGAAACAUGAAUUAUCACAACCUUCCAUCCAAAAAAUCCACAUGAAUCUAAAUUUUGGAGCAACAAAUAAAACAAUCAUUCAGUUAUAACAAAAUAUUGUUCAAUGACCAAAUUUUCAGAUCAGAGAUGUCAUUCUGUAUUGAACGAUAAACAAUCAAUAAAUUUCUUUUUUAUCGUCUGCAUGUCAAAUUCUAUUCUCAUUUAAUACAGAGAAAGAACUUUCUUUCUCAGAAAGAUCCAUGCACACAUAUAUUUGCACAUAAAGAUAUGCACUACAAGCAAAUAUGACAGCAAAUGAAGAAGAAAGAUGAAGAAUAAUUCGUGUAACAAAUCUUACAUAGUUGGGAUAAGAUUUCUAAUUCUGCCACAAAGUUGGAAUUCAGUAAGAUUUAGUAAGCUGCAUAUAAAUAUAAACUUAUGCAUAUGCAUGGAUUACACUUCUUAAACAAUUUUUUAUUGUUGCUCCUAAUUGUUUUUCAAAUGAUAAUUCUACCCUGUCCUCUUUAGAUUUUGUUGUUUUUCUUGCCCCUUUUUGUGGGCGCAUUAUUAGAAUUAAACCCCCAACAAUCCAUCUCCACCCCCUCACCCUCUUUCAAUUAUACACAUAUUAUAGUUCACUUCAAACUUUUUGUUGAGAUUGAGGAUGAUAAUUUAUUUUCUUUUAAUCUUAAACAUUUUUAUUACCAUAAUUGCUUAGUACAUGUGCUAAUAUAAUAAAUGGUUUAUACACUUGUACUGUUAUUCAAGCUUAAGAAUUUCCAAACCUAGGCUAGCUUUAUAACAUUAAUUGCACCCCAUCUUAAUCACGCCCACAAGCAGGUAGAUUCCUUUGCAAAAGCUGUGAUCUAAAUUGUUCCAUUCCAAUCUUUAGCUCUAGAUACAAACAUCUGUAUAUAAGCAUUAUUGAUGCACCAACAAACAAAAAAGAAAAACGCAAGUGCAUCUGAACAGGACGCAACCAUUUUGUGCUUUACCGCAGCUUACCAACAAAAGUAACGAAAAGACCAGUCGGUGAUGGACUUUUCUUACUGACGCCAUCAGGACUGGCCGUUUCCAUGUUUGGAAAAUCAUGUGGGGCCAACCAAAUGGGGCUUAGUGUUGUCUUAAUAACAUGAUUAUGUUUGCAGUUGUGGAAUAAUUGAUACUUCCCCUUCUCCUUCUCCAGGUUUACAAGCUUUCCAUUGGAGCAGCAUGCAGUGUUUCAUGGCCUUCUGAUCGCUUCAUAAUUCAGGUUCUUGACGACUCCACCAAUGAAGCCUUGAGGGUAUUUUUCAAACUAAAAAUAACCUCAACUAUCAACAGUUUUAAAGCGUGAAUCCACGAUAAUAUAUAUAUAUAUACAUGUAUUUUUAGGUGAUGGUCGAGUUGGAGUGCCGGAAAUGGAUAGACAAAGGAGUGAAUGUGAAAUAUGAGACUAGGAACAACAGGAAUGGCUACAAGGCUGGUGCUCUUCGGGAAGGUUUACAGAAGCAAUAUGUUGAAGAUUGUGAGUUUGUAGCAAUCUUCGAUGCAGAUUUUCAGCCAGAGGAGAAUUUUCUUUGGAGGACCAUUCCUUUCCUGCUAGAGAAUCCAGGGUUGGGCUUGGUUCAGGCUAGAUGGAAAUUUGGUAAGACCAUUAAACAAGAUUAUAACUACUUCGUUACUUGAUAAGCGCUGAUAAUUGUCCAUUCUUUGUUGAUGAUUAUUUGAUGGCUAUUAAGACCCAUGCAUCAUUUUGCAUAGUGCAAGCAUGUCACAUUCGAAGAGAAUUGCUCCAUCAGUUCUCUUGUAUUGAGGCCAAGUUGUCAAGCUGUUUCUUUUUUCCUUGUUUUUAGUGCUUCAACAGUUAACACUCCACUGGAAGAGCUGUUGUUGCUCAGCUAUAGCUUUUGGUCUUGUUCAUUAGGUACUAUACAUCACAUAAUGGUCAGGUUCACCUGGUAAGCUCAACCCACAAGCCUGUUUCCAUGACUCUAUAGAUUAAGAUGCUAGUUAACCUCAGCCACAGCUGUCCCUCUCGACAAAGUCAAAUACUAAGUUCUUUACAAGCAAUUUUACAAGUUUAAGGUUUUUAACUGUCAGUUUUUACAUAAAUCUAUGCUUUUAUUUCUAUUUAGAAUAUGAUAGUGAGAACUCUGUCAUUAUUUUUAAUAUUUUAUUCUUCUACUGUUUUUGGCUGUUAUUUUCAUUGAAACCACCAAAAUAAACCGCUACACUACUGUCCGUGAAAACUCACCAUAAUCUAGUAUUAACUUUUUAUUCUUGUUUGAUUUUCUGUUAUCUAGGCAAUUCUUAGAACAACAAAAAAAAAAUCACAAAUUUCCAAAAAUUUCCCUUGUUUUGGGCAUUCUUACCAUAGUUUGCUUUUGCCUAUUAUUCUCUGCUAACAGAAAUAUUAGCCUGAAUAUUUUUACUCAUUAUUUCAUGAACAGAAAAAUCAGCUCAAAAUUUUCUACCCAUUAUUUCAUGAUAUUGAUCUAAUUAAGCUACUUUGACAUUGCUAUUUUACAAGAUUUCAUGUAAAACUUCCAAAGUUUUAGAGUAUGAUCAAGUUCAAAUUUUGAAGUUACUUUCUUCAGGCUGGGUUUCACUCUAUAAACCUGACCCAUGGCUUACUUACACAAGGAACUCAGUAUCUAUCAAUUGUUCUUUUCCCCAUUCUACUAUUGAUUGCAUGAUUGCUUAAGGUAAUUAAUAUUGAUUUUCUCUCCAUAGUGAAUGCGGAUGAAUGUCUAAUGACCCGACUCCAGGAGAUGUCACUAGACUAUCACUUCAGUGUUGAGCAAGAAGUGGGCUCCUCGACAUGUUCCUUCUUUGGGUUCAACGGUAAUCUAAAAUAGAACUAAGCUUUUAAUGAAGAUCGUUAUUUUUAUGUGCUUACAAGAAAAACACCAGCUGAGCUUCUAGUGAUUAUGUUCAUAGGUACCGCUGGUGUUUGGCGGAUUCAAGCAAUAAAUGACGCUGGCGGAUGGAAAGAUCGAACCACAGUGGAAGACAUGGAUCUUGCAGUCAGGGCUAGCCUUAAGGGUUGGAAAUUUCUCUUCGUGGGGGAUUUAUCCGUAAGUUUUUCAAGUUCAUUUUUUAAUUCACAGCAGCAGUGAAUGUCUUUUAAGCAUCAAUAUAUCAUUAAUCUCUCAACACUCACACUCUUCCUAGGUGAAAAAUGAACUACCCAGUACCUUCAAGGCAUAUCGAUAUCAGCAGCAUCGCUGGUCUUGUGGCCCAGCUAACCUUUUCAGGAAAAUGACCAAGGAAAUCAUUCUCUGCGAGGCAAGUAAACCCAAAACUUUGGCAAUAAAACAUCUAAUUUAGGUUAAUCCUACUAAAAUAACUUUUAGAUUGUAUUAAAAAAUCCCUCACAAUGAAGAAAUCACAUAGAACCUUUUAUCUUCUGCAGAAGGUAUCAACCUGGAAGAAAUUUCAUGUCAUCUAUGCAUUCUUCUUUGUGAGGAAGAUAAUCGCGCACUGGGUCACUUUCUUCUUUUACUGUGUGGUUAUCCCAUUAAGCGUUUUAGUUCCUGAAGUCGCUCUCCCAAAGCCGAUAGCCAUUUAUAUUCCAGCAACCAUUACAUUUCUAAACGCAGUCUGCACUCCCAGGUAAAAAUAGAAUUAAAAAUAAAUAAAAAUCCAAACACAACCUAUAAAGUCAUUUUUUUUCCCCUCCCAUGUUUCCUCAAAUUGUCAAUAAUGCUCAACACAGGUCUUUGCAUCUGGUUGUCUUUUGGAUCCUGUUUGAGAAUGUCAUGUCACUCCAUCGAACUAAGGCGGCAAUUAUAGGACUUCUAGAAGCCAAUCGUGUCAAUGAAUGGGUUGUGACUGAGAAGCUAGGCAACCUAAUGAAACAAAAGAAUGCCAAAGCAUCAAAGAAAUCACGAUCUCGAGUAGGAGAAAGGUAUUUUUUCAUUUUUAUUUUUAUUUUUUGUUUCUUGUCUUUCACACUUCAUCAUAUUUCGAGGAGGUUUCCCAACCACAAAGAUGACAAGUAGACCAGUUAAAUUAUGGAACUUUGCACUCUCAUAACACAAACCAUGAUCACUAGCACCUAGUUUUAAUUUCUAACUUUGUGAUGUUACAAACAGGAUCCAUUUAUUGGAGCUGAUAAUGGGGAUGUUUAUGCUACACUGUGCAAUCUAUAAUCUCCUAUUUAGAGAAGACCAUUUCUUCAUAUAUCUCAUACUGCAAGCUGGAGCUUUCUUCAUAAUGGGAUUUGGAUACGUGGGGACAUUUGUAUCCAACUAGAGCAUAAGACAACCUGGGUCAAGCCAUGGACAGUACAAAAGCAUAGAGAGCAGGCAGAUCAGUUCUUUAGAUGCGUGUAUCACUAAAGGGGAGAAAAUGGUUAAACAUACCUAGUAGAGUAUUAGUGUACAAGAAAAUGGUUAAAUCUACCUAAUGGAGUAUUAGUGUAUGUGUGUUUAGAAUAGUUUGAACAGUUUCUCAAUCUUAUAUUCCCACAUGAUAUGUUAUAGAACAGCAACUGAAUAUUGUGUUGCAAGUAAAUGUGUUGCCUAGUUUGUUCUUGAAGAUAAAUUUCUUCCAUAUAUGUGUCGUUUCAUUAGUAAAUGACUAUUAUUAUAUAUCAAUCAAUGAAGAAACCUGAAAGGACUGUUGAUCUACAUUUCUUACACUCGGGGAUUUUCUCUACCCAAUUGUUUGACGAUACAUGUGAAGUUUCACAUAGAAUAGCAAUCAGCAGGAACUUAACAACUUCCAACAGAUUACAAAUGAUCACUAAGGAUAUCUUAAUUUCCAGAAGACACCAAAAAUAAGGUAUUCUCCUCCUUCACUGAUGCACCGAAUGCCAGCAAGAAAGGAGACUCCAGGCCCCAAAGGACACCAAGUCAUUCCAUGUUCCAGAAGGAUGUUCCAACUUUUAAGGCCCACAAACUCCCAACUUUUAAGGGAGGAAAACCCUUAUCAAACAAGAAGGGUAGUCCUUUUGCAAUUGGAUGAACAAUAUAUGACAUUUUUUCUAUAACUGGGGCCAUAAUUUUCUUAAAUCAUGAAACCAAUCUCCAGGUUCUCAACUCAAAGGCAUUUGACCUUCAUGCCAAUGGAGUUAAAAUAUUUAAGCGCCCUAAUUUCAUUCUCAUUUGUCACCCAUUGGGUGCUACCUUGAAGUUAUCACAAAUGCAGAUUGAUUAUUUAUCAUCACUUGUCUUACCACUUGUCCAACACAAUGUCACAUUUUUUUUGAUAGGUAAAGAUAAUUCAUUAAGAGCCAAAAGGCUAGAGAAAGGGUAUACACGGAGUAUACCAAGAUACAAAGAGGCAAAAAGCAAAAAGAUAAACAAGCCAGACCCUUACUUGGUGGCUAGCCAGUCUACAAAAUCUAUCAAAGAGAGAGUGUGUUCCUCUAUAUACACCCUAGCUCAAUUCACAAAAGUGUACAAAAAAAUGGAUUUAAUAUCUUGGUCGUUCCUCUCAAUAUCAUCGAAGACCCUCUUAUUCCUUUCUUUCCAAAUGGUCCACAUCAGGCAGAGGAGGGCAACUCUCCAAGCUUUCUCCCUUUUCUUGCCCACGAAAGAUCCAUGCCAUCCUAGGAGGUUCCUUUUCACAGAGGAUUGCAUCACCCAUUGCACCCCAAAAAGGGAGAAGAUCAGAAGCCAUAACAUUCUGGCCUUCUCACAAAACAAGAGAAGGUGAUCUGUGGUUUCGUCCUCAUAUUUGCACAAAAAUCAACUGUUGGGGAUGCUCCAACCAAAUCUCUUCAGGUGAUCAAUGGUGAUCAACCUACACCAGGCCGCCUCCCACCCAAAGAAGCUAGUCCUAAUUGGAACCCAAGGCGUCCAAAUAGUUUUAGCCGGGAAGGGGGGCUUGAUGCCCCUUGAGAAUGAGUGUAGAAAGACUUGACAGAAAAGGUCCCAUUCUUGUUCUCUUUCCACCGGAGCGAGUCAUUCACACCUCUUCUAAUGGUCAAAGGAUGAAGCUUGCUUAAUAAGCUUUCUACUUCUCCCACCUCCCAAUCAUUAAGGUGCCUAUUAAAACGAAGCCCCCAACUACCCCCAACUUCAUUUUCCUCCCAAGCCUCAGCAACCCAGCCUUCUUUGUUGACGGAGAGAUUAAACAAGAAGGGGAAAGCUUCUUCCAGAGAUUGGUUUUCACACCACAAAUCCUUCCAAAACUUCACUCUAGUGUCAUCCCCUAUGAUAAAGCAGGAGUGAGAGCGAAAGUUCUUCCAACCAUUUCUGAUGGCCUUCCAUACCCCCACCCCAUAACGGUCUCUUACUCCUUUGGAGCACCAUCCCCCCUCUUGAACGUCAUACUUACUAGAGAUAAUUUGCUUCCAUAGGGGCUCAUUCUCAGCCAAGCCUUCGACAGAAUAGCCAUUCCACCAGCUUCUUACUAAGUCUUUGAAACCAUCUAUUUUCAGCCACAUAUUUUCAAAACGGAAGGGGCUUUUGCUUGAGGAGAAACCACCAGCUUCAAGGACUAUUGGGCUGUGAUCAGAGACCAAACGAGGGAGAGCAGAUUGUGUGAUGACUAAAAAAUGGUCCUCCCAUUGAUCCGAAAUCAGGAAACGGUCCAAUCUAGAAGCAGCUUGAGAGUUCAAACCUCCUAUCCAAGUGAAAGGACCUUCGGCCAGUGGAAAAUCCCUCAGGCCCAGCUCCCCAAUCACCUCUGAAAAUCUCCUCAUUUCAGCUGUGAGCCUAGAGGCAUUCCUUCUUUCCUCUGGGAAUCUUAUAGCGUUGAAGUCCCCUCCUAUGCACCAAGGGUCUUCCCAGAGGCCACGGAUGGCUCCAAGCUCCUCCCAGAAAUCUUCCUUUUCACUGCCCAUCACUGGCCCGUACACUCCAAAGAAAAUCCAAGAGAAGCCAUCAGUGCAGUUUCUAAAACGAACAGAGAUGGAGUACCCCCCGCUUUCUACCUCCAAAUUCUCCAAGACUCUGUUAUCCCAAAAGAGAAGGAGGCCUCCUGCCACACCCCUAGCAUCCACUGAGGCCCAAUUAAGGAAUCUUCCUACUCCUACACUUUUUACCAUUUGCAUAGAUAUUUCUUUCACCUUUAUCUCAAAAAGACAAACCAAAUCUGGUUUUUGAUUCCUCACCAUUCCCUUGAUCAAUUUUCUUUUCUCACAAUCGUUAAGCCCUCAGACAUUCCAACAAAGAAUUUUAAUUCUCAUUAAUCAACUGGAAUCAAAUCCCAGGAGCUCUGACCGGAUUUUUUAGUUGUCCCCCCAUAACUGACAGAGCAUUCAAGUCUUUUUAACUCUCUUUCGAAACGGGUGGUGCAAGAUUUUUUCUUCUUCCUUCUCUUGCAUAGGGAGUUACUUCCAGUCCUCAGCUUCAAUUUCAUAAGCAUGGCCAGAAUUUCGACUUCAUUCCCUUCGACAGGCAUUCCCAAGACUUUACUAAAGUGAAAUAGUUUGGAGAGCUCCUCUUUUGACCAUCCUUCUUCGCAUGGGGGGACAGGCGACAAGUCUUUCUACUUCUUCACAUCUUUUUCCAGAUCAGGUCUCGGGGUUUCAUUCAGAAACACUAUCGACCCAUCUCUAAGCAUCAUGGCCAGAGGGUUCGACGUCGCUCCGACCUCCCUUAGCGUCGAUUCCAACAGACCAGAGCAAGAUCCCCUUUCCCUCUCAAACCCUGAAUCUCAGAAUGGAGUAGAAGAAGAGGAAAACUCUCCUCUCGAGGAGAACGGAGGUUGAGAGAACAUACCUUGUGGUUUGCGAGCUUCAACGAGGGGACGGGGGGAAGCUCAAUCACAGGCGGCGACGCCAAGCCAUGUGGAUUGCGAUCUUGAACGGGUGGGGAAGGCUCAUUUGCAGGCGACGACACUUCCAAAUGGGGCGUCGCUUCCAUCCGGCGGGUCUUGUGAGCUUUAACGGGGAGGGGGGGAAAUCUCAGCCAAUCCAAAUGGGGCGUCACUUCCAACACAAUGUCACAUUUCACCAAGCCUAUUGUAUUGACCUUUUUCUUAUGCAUUUUGUUUAAUAAAACCCUACCAAGUACCAAUGUCAAAAACAUUUUGCUCUUCCCAAUUAUUGCAGUCAUCAAUAUUCAUGCAAAUGACAGAUAAUCAUCUGCAAAAUAUCUCAUCUUGUCACCAUUUGACAUUACUUUCAAGCUCUAAUGAAUAUACUGCUUUCUAGUUAUUCAAUCCUUUGUAUUGGAAUGAGUCUAAGGCUAUUCAAGAAAAGGGAAAAAGGGAAACAACAAAAAAUUUAGAAAUUUUUAUUUCUUUAGUCAUAAUUAGUAAAUAUUUUAUUUUAGUCUCAUUUAGAAUUGGGAGGUUGUUUCAUUAGAAAUUUCCCGGUAAAAAGAGUUUUUAUAUUUCUAAACUUUCUAUUUUCCAAAAAUCACUUUUUCUAAAGGUUUUAUUCUUAAUAACUGAGGAAACUUUCAUGAUCGAGCCUUUCACACUCUUCAUAGGGACCCAAACCUCUCGAUGCUAACUUUGUUGGCCACAACCAAUACCAAGUAAUCUAGGUCAUUUAACUAGUUGUAGGAAUCAAACCCUAGACUGUGCAUCUCUACCACACGUCCUCGCAUUCGCCCUAACCAAUUGGGCACCCUGAUGGGGAUUAAAGUUUCUAUCUUCUUAAAAACUGUUUUUUCUUUAAAAAAAAAAGGUUUCUCUUUUCUAAAUAGCUUUUAUUUUCUAAAAGUUUCUAUUUUCUAAAAAUUAUGUGUUUCCUAAAAAAUUUUACUUUCUAUUUUCAUUUAAGAAAAAGGUAUAAUAGUUCUAGGAAAGAAAGGGGCCAAUUGAUACUUGAGAUAUGAUUCCCUAUCGGAGGUGAGAGUUGGUUCACAAUGGAGUCAAAGUCCUUUGAAAUCAAUGUUGAGAAGGUCGCUUAAGAGGAAGCAUUUUGAAGAGGGGCAGAGGUUCUUCUAGUUGGAUUAGAUUCAGAAACGUGAGCUUAUCCCAAUUGUUAGAGGGGUUGGAAGCUUGUUGCAAUAAAUGGGAAGGACUUUGACGUAGGACAAACGAAAGUCUAAUGUCCCACAUCGAUUGAUUAGUAACAGUGGUUUGGCCUUAUAUAUGGAGCUACCUCUACCUCCCAUUAGCUUAGGCUUUUGAGAGUGUAUGAGGUCCCACAUCAUUUGGUAUCAAAGCAAGGUUCCUAGCUCGCUAGCACGGGCGUCAACAGAUAAGUGGGGGAGUUGGACAUAAGAUGGAUGGAAGUCCAAUGUCCCACAUGGGCCACAGCAGCUUAUUACUAACAUUGGUUAGGUUUUAUAUAUGGGGUUAUGUCUACCUCUUAUUAGCCUAGGCUUUUGGGAGGGUAUGUGGUUUUGCAUCAUUUUGUAAGGUUUGGGAGGAAGGAGGGAGGUCUUUUAGAAUGGAAAACCAUUCAAACGAAGCUAGAAGGUUUAUUCAAUAUUCGGUUAAGUCCAUGGAGGCCAAGAGGUUCACAUUGAUCUACCUUGAAGGUACGGUACUAGACGGAGAGUGGUCCAUUCUAACCAAGAAGUUGAGGGUUCUUGGCGUGGUCUCUUUCUCUCAAUUUCAACAAUGAGAGAUGAUACACUAGAGGUCAAAGGAGGGGAGUAGAGGGCAAGUAAUGCUUGCAGGCCUUUUGCUAGGGUGGGAUGGAGGUAAAAUGGUGUAAUGGAUGAAGGGUUGUUGCUUCAAUUAGUCUUUGACUAAGGGGCAGCAAAGGGAGGUGAUUCUAAAGAGUUGUUUAGUGGGGAGAUGGGGGAAGUUUUCUAAUUCCGUUCUUGAUUUGCCUUCAUUGAAGAGAUGGUCUACUAAGGCUUGGCACUUAAAGGGAAAGAAAGGCAGGUAAGUAUGGGUGAGGCUAUCCCUGCUUGGACAUGCUCUCCUUCUCUUUGAUUUUGAAGAAAGCUUUGAUGUAGUGUCUGUUUUAAGUAGUGGACAGAGGAGGUUCUAGAACAAAUUAUUAUUUUUGGAUAGUUCAGCUCUUGAAGUAGGAUAUUUCCAUAAAGGAGUGCAUGCACAAAAAGUUUGGAUGAGUAUUUUGGGGAUACUGUUGCAUUUGUGGUGUUGGGAGGUGUUUAGAAAGUUGGAUGACCAGUGUAGAGGUUUUGUGGUUGUCAAUGUAGAUACAACUCAGUGCAACAAUCUGCAAUAGGCAAGAAUUUUAGUGAAAUCUGAUGGAAGAAGAAAGCUUGGAACUUUGCAGCUGGUGCUUAGCCAGACAUGUUUUGCUGUCUAGUUGUGGUAGGAAGUUUCCCCAUGGCUGUCUUAGGUGGUUAAAAGAGAAUCUGGCAGCAGACUGGAGGUUAGGGGUAAAGAGGUGAGUAAGCCAUGCAUUGGGGGAAGAAGCGUGGGUGGUUUCUCUGUUAUUAAAGUUUGGCAUAGGGAAUGUAUCACUAACUGAAGAACUAUCAAGGCAGAAAACAAAUAGCUUGCUAUGAUGUUGCUAUAGAAGUCUCUGUAGGUAAAGGUGGGAGUUGAGGGAGGUAGUAGGUCCACUAAUGUUGAUAUGAAUGACAGGGUGGGCCGUAAAUGCAUCAAAAGAGCCCAAAGAGAAAUGGAGUGAGCAGCAGGUGGUAAUGAUGGAGUGGGCAACGUGAUGUGUUAAAACUCCUAAGAUGAGCUAGUAAAGGCUACAGUGAUGGACCAAGCUGGGGUAGGCCUUUCAAAAGGGAUGGGCAAGGGAGAGCCCUUUCUUCAAGAGGGUUCUAGGGUGGACCCUCAACUUACUAGUUUUAAUGGGCUUGGUUUUGGGCUAGGAGAACAAGCAAACCAAGCCCUUUUGAACUUUAAGGGGCUUAGGGAUUCUUUUUCCACUGAGGCCUUCUUUAUAAGAGGAAUGGAGAAUAUAAGGGAGAAGUAUGGAACUACCAUGGAGGAGGAGAUGAUGGUUUUACUGGUGGAGAAUAGUCUUUUGAGCUCUGACGUGGCCCUCUUCGCUGAGGUGACAAGGCUUCCAAGUUCUAUUCCUCUCCCUGCUUCUUUUUGGGGAUGAAGGUUUCUCUUUCUUCUUCUUUCUCUAAGGGUACUUAAGCUCUUAAGGGUCAUGAGAGGGUCUCUGAUGUAGUUUUGCACGAUGGUGGUAGUGGCCCGCUGAGGAUGGUUUUGGUCACGGUGGAGUUUCUAGGGAGGGAGACAAGGUCACUUGAUGCUUUGGUGGAGAUCAUUAAGGAAGAGGGAGUGGUUCAUAGUUUAGCCUUGAGAGGGGAUAUCCUUUUGGAGGACUGGUCUUCCAACAGCUUACCUGUGUUCAGUAAUUGGCUUGGAAUGUCAAUGAAAGGGUAUGAAACAGAGAUUUUGGAACUUCUUCAGAAGAUAAAAGGCUACAAAGGAGGUGAAGUGUCGGGUUGGUGGAAAGAGGAGAAAGAACUCCAUUUCUUUGAAAUUCGAAAGGGAAUUAAACAAGCUUGAGUGCUUUGUGAAGUAUAAGGGUUGUCUGUUAGAGGUGCCAAAAAUAGGGAUGAGAAAAAAAUCAUAAAGUCAAUUAUUAGAGCUAAAAAAAUAGACCUAGUUUGUAUUUGGUAUGUUUUAAGGAAUCAAAGGUGCUUUUGUUGUUGGUCCCAAUGAUGAGGAGCCAUGAAGUAGGAAGAUUCUUUGGUUCAAGUGCAGAGAAGGCAAGGUCAGUUGGGGGGGCUUUCUGUUUUACUAGGUUGUUAUGGCAUUGGUUUUGUAUUGAGUGGUGGUUGUUGUUGCCUUUUUCCUUUUGCUUGCCUUUUUGACAUUAUUUGUAUACUUUGUGUGUACUUUGGUGCACCUUUUUUCAAGCACUUCCAAUUUAAUUGCUGAUUUUACCAAUAAAAAAAAUCAUAGUUAUAGACUAUUAAGUUACUAUACAGAUUAGGAUUUUUUUUUUUUCAACAUGGUUUAUAAGUUUUUGGGAUUUUCUAAAGUUUGUAAAUAAGACUAUUUGAUGUAGAAAAGAGAUUAAUAAAUGAAUGAUGAAUGAUACCAAUUUUUCUGCAUACUUUACUAUUUCUGAUGAUAGGACUCCAUUAUGUUUCUUCUAAUAGAUAAUCUUAGAAGACCUUAAUGAGACUCUUAAGGUUUUCUAUCUUUUCUUCUCUAUAUCCUUUUUUUUUUUUUUUGGCACUUUUAUUGCAUAUGGCCAUAGUUUUAAUUCCUUGUUCCUUUCAUUCAAUCCGAAACUAGUGGAGUUCCAGUCCACCUAUUUGAUUAUAGACAACCACCCUAGGAUUGUUUUAUAUCAUUUCUCUUGCUAUUUAUUCACAAAAAAUCCUUAUAUCUACUGUUCUCAAUACAUGUUUCUUAAGGGCCCAGCUAAAGCUAGAGCAUAUUUCUCUACUCAAGGAAACAGUUGAGGAACAGGAUGAAUGCACAAGAAGAGUAAACUGAUAAUUACAGAAACAGAAACUGAAGAAUAUCUUUUAUUUUUUGAUAGGUAAACAGAGCAAAUAUAUUAAAAGCGCUAGGAAAAGGCAUACAAAGUACACAUGGAGCAUGCAUGUAGCAACCUAAUACAAGCAAAAGGAAAGAGAAAUCACAAACCAGACCCCCAAAGUAGAGGCAAAGACAAACCACAAACCAGGCCCCCAAAGUAGAGGCUUCGCCUCAGAGCUAGCAAAACAAAAAACCACAGACAUAGCAAACAAACCCUUAGGAGAAACUGCCACAACCCCUCUUCCUUGCCCUUCCUGAAACUACCAUCUUUUGCCCCCUAGGAAAUUGUAGUCCCAACACACACCUUACAGGGUCACUGACUGACCAUCUCCCCCCACUACUCCAGCUCCUCUGACUGAAGAAUAUCUUAGUUCAGUCAGAGAAGAAAAGACUAGCUUUUUUUUUUAUCACAUUUACAUUUUUUUUUUUGAUAGACAGCUUUUUUAUCACAUUUACACUGCAAGCUUGAGUUAAAUUUCACCAUGACAUCAGGGGAACAAAUGUAACUCACAAAAAUUUUAUCCCAGCUUUCAAACAUUAAAAGAGUACAUAGGAAUCGCUAAGACAAUCAAAUUCAUAUGUUUCAUUAAUUAUAAAAAAUAAUAAAUUUCUAAUCACUCUAGUUCAUCAAGUUUGAUUUCAUAUUGCUCCCCAGACGAGAGGAUUUUUACACUAACCAUACCUCUUUGCCACUCAGAAUUCCCCACCAAUAUCAGCCUUUGUGCAUUUGUCCGUGCUGCUCGUUUGAACACCCUUGAAGAUGAGGCCAAGUGGUAUGCAUAUUACCAAAUCAGAAACCACAGUCAAGGUAGGAAGCUAUAAAAACCCAAACAUGAAAUUGCAUACCAUUUGAGUGGUUUGCUCUCCAAAACCAAAUCAACACUUUGGCCUUUUUCCCUGAGUCUUGUAGCAACUGCAGCAGCUGCUCCUUGAAGAUAAUGAUCCAGAGCGCAGACAAUAUUCUCUACUUGGAGGCUGAGCUCUGGUAGAAGCCCCUUCUCCUUGAGCAACUGAUAAAAAAAUUAAAAACAAAAUAAAAUAAGAAGAAAAAAGAACAAGAAGAAAAGAGGAAAAAAGAACCCAUACCCAUCAAGAGUGAGAUCCCACAGAAAGGCGGAAAAAGAAAAAAGAAACCAUCAUCCAUCAAGAGUGAAGUUAGAUACAUGCACGUGCAUAAAGGGAGAAAGAGAGUGAAUGAGAUAGAGAAGCUAAGUAAAAUAUUUUAAAUAGGUUGAAGAUCAAAGUGAAAUAUUUUAAUUAGGUUCAAGAUUAUAGGCAUACUUUAAACAAGGCAGGUCAGGCACAAACACACAAGGGUACAGGCAUGGCAUUUGAUUAUGACAUGCAGCUUCAGGAUGCCAAACAAAUGUAUCCAGAAAAAGAACAAACAAAUAUGACACAGAUAUGGAAUUAGUCCGUUCUUUGUUACAACGGUACUUCCAAAAUGAGUAAAGCACCACUUUUGAACAUGCAAAGCUACACAUACUUUAUUGCACCCUGAAGUAUUAAAGAAGAAGAUUUGAACAUUCUGUCAAUCCAGUGAGUCUCUUUGCCCUAGGAUUUGGGGCCUGGACAAAUUCAUCAUCUACUUACACACCUGCACAGGAAACGCGUAACUGAAUCCAACAUAGGUAUAAACUACCAAACAAGAUAUAUAGCACAUGUUAGUGACUGUGAAGUUCAGUCGGUCAUUGACUCAAAUGUCCCAUUGAAGGAAUUUCAUUUCAAUGGGCCAAAAAAGGAGAAAAGAAUACAAAGUUUAAUACCUAUCAAAUUUAAAACAUCAAACCAAGGUAAAAUAUAUACAUAAAUAAAGAAAAAGUCGAUUAUAGUCAAAGAUGACUCAGCUGGCAUAGCAUAAAGGUUCAGUCCCUCCACUGAAAGAUUAAAAUUUCUUGCCCUGUAGAUAUAUGUGUUAUAGAAAGAAAUGUAAGUUGCAGCUCGUAAGUAGUCAGAACAUUCAUCAUCGUCUCUGAAAAUCAGUUGGCACGAUAACAAAAUAAGGGAGGGAAAUUUUUUACUAGGCUCAAUAUGCUUGUCGUACAGAAGCUGGUUUAUCUCAAUAAUAAUGACACUAGGGAAGCCAUUUUGGAACAGGAGAAGCAUCUUCUGCCUAAAUAAUAUAACAUCCAAGCAAUUUAAUAUAACAAAUUCACUUCAUUAAAGUUCUUUGAUAUACAAGGCAUAAACUCACUUCAAUAAUGACAGCAUCACCAAAUCCAAAGCCACAAGCAGGGACGUCAUCACCUCCAAAAGUAGAGAGUAAACGGUCAUAUCGUCCACCACCACAAAUGGCCCGCAACUUUCCUUCUCUAUCAAAUCCCUGAUGAAAAGAUGAAUUCAUUGGGAAAAGAAAAUAAGAGGGUCUACUGUUUAUGAACAAAUUACACCAUGUGCAUGUCUAUAAAGAGAAGAAUAAUCAUCAGUAAAAGAAAUUAGCUGUUUCAGCUGCAUACUUAGCCCUCAUUCAGUAAAACUUAAAUUUUGUUUUCAAGACAUGCAAGACUAGCAAUGGCCAUAUGUGCUAAGAAUAGCAUAUUUGCAGCAUCUGGAAUUUCAAUAGUUCAGGAUUUCACAUGAUCCUAUAAUGUCUAUGCCUCUUGAUUCAAGCAUAAGCUGAAAAACAGUACCAAAAUCAAUGUCUGCAUAUCUACUGACGCAGAUAUGAAGUUAGUGCUUUACACUUGGAAUUGGAAAAACUUCGAAAUAUACAAGUGUAGGCACUCCCAUAAUUGAUAAGAAUGCUGUAAUGCUAACAUCGACAUUUUCCCACAUUUGUUUUCAGCUAAACAUACAUGUGUUUCAUUAAUUCAAAAAUCAGAACCAUAAAUCAUCAACUCAGUGACAAGGGGACACCAUCUCCCCUUAUCUGUUCUUGCUAGCCAUGGAAGGGUUUUCUUCUCUUUUUGAAGCUGUCAUUCAGGAAAAGCCUUUCUAUUAUCAUCCCAGGUGCUGCAGUUUAGGUAUAUCACAUAUCAUCUUUGCUCAUGAUUUGUUUGUUUUGGCUGGGGCUACUCCUAGAUAUCUGACAGCAAUUAAGGCAGAUUUAGUUGAGUUUGAAGAAUUAUCAGGCUUAGGCCUAAUCUGCAGAAAAGUAAUCUAUUUUUUGCAGGGGUUGAUGAAGCAGAAAGAGGUCAGCUUUGUGAUAUCCUGGGAAUACAAGAGGGGUGACUUCCUCUUAGGUACUUAGGUCUACCUUUGAUCUCUACAAAAUUGGAUGCAGCUGCUCAUAAGAACUUUUUGGAUGAGAUGAUGAGUAAGAUAAAAAGUUGGAGUACUAAGACACUGUCAUAUGCUGGUAGAGUUCAGCUUAUCAAGUCAGUACUAUCUAGUGUGAAGAUGUAAUGGUCUGGGUCUUUUAUUCUACCUAAGAGAAUGCUUUAUAAUCUUGAAUGGUAAAUAAGUUAAGAGAUUUCUUGUGGACAGGUGCUGAUCUUAAACACACAAGUGCUAAGUUGAUUUGGGAUAUGUCUGUAAGCCCCUUGAGGAAGGGGCUCUAGCAUUAGAAGGUUGGAUGAAUGGAACAAGGCAUUUAUCUUGAAGUACAUAUGGGCUAUCCAUGCUAAAAAGGACUCACUUUGGGUGAAGUGCUUUUGCCUAAGGAGAAGUAAAGGAAGAAUAAAGCCUCCGCCUUUGCACCCACUUGGUGCGCUAUUAAAGAAAAAGAGCAUUUCUAUCUAAUAAUAAUAUAAUAACAGAACGCUUCGCAUUGGCUAGCUUGCUUGGCUACACCCAUAUCGAUUCAAAUAGCCCAUUCAAGUCGAUUCUGUGCAUUGGAUUACUUCUUUUUGCAAUGAUUCCAAUAUGUCAAGCUUCAAUUGUAUAAUGACGACAAACGACCAAGUCAUCACUUUCAUCUACAUAUAUAAAGUACAAUCAAGCAAGCAGUCUUUUAUGUAGUACAAUCAAUCAAGCCCACUGCUGAUUGUGCGGCCACUGAUUUUUCAUUUUUAAGAAGCUCCUCCAAACUAGAAUUCGUGAAUCUUUCCAACUAUACUCACUCUAAAAAAAAAAAAAAGGAGAGCUUAACGACUUCUUUUGAAUGAAAUUCCUUAACUUUCAACCCUCAAGGCCUCAGCUUCUAGCAUGAAAACAAUCUUUGCUAGAAUCACAACAUCAGCCUAUUUGCUAACUCAUCAACUCAUGUGGACAGCACCAUGUUUCAGAAAAAAGGUGUCAUAAAACCCUCAAUCAGUAAAGAUAUAAAUAGCAAACCUAACCUCAAAUACAAUUCCAGUAUAAUAGGCAAGGCCACGGACAACAGAUGCAUCGAAUUGAAUCCACUCAGAGUAGCCAAACUUUUCAGCAAGGGAGAACAGUUGUUUCAGAUCUGCAACUGCUUCCCCAGCAGCUCCAAGUAUCUCUGCACAAUUAUAAACAACAAUCCCAUCACACAUCUGUCUAAUCAACUGUUUCAUUCAAGAAAAACUUACUUCAAUAAACUCACAUUAGCAGACAUCAAAUCAUGUUUGAUGUCUCUGUUGUACUAGUAAAUCAUAUAGUGCAGGCUAUUGCAUUAGCCAUACAAUAAUUUUUAAAAUGCGUAAGGAUUCAAUUUGGUAAGGUGUUAAAAUUUUAUUUAAUUCUAUUUUGUUAAAUUUUUAUACUUGAACCUUUUUGAUCUUUGUUCUUGUAUUUUAUUUUUUAUUUUUAAUUUUAGUUAGAUAGUUUACACUAUAGUUUUUCAUAUUUUUUAGUUUAAGUACUUAGAUUUUUAAAUGGAAGAUAAAGCAAAUUUUUAGUUUUAAACUUUUGUUAGAAUGCUAUGUACUUUUUUCAAUCACAACAUAUUUUCAAUGUUUAAAUAUAUAAGGAUUUAUUUUGGUAAUUUGGUACUUUGCUUGUUUUUUACUUUCAAUCUUUGUUUUUCUUUUUAAUUUUUUAAAGCCUUCAUCACUCUAAUUAUUUAUCUUCUUAACUAUAAAUACAAAUGUUUAGUGUUACAUUUUUGUAAUAAUUCUAUCAUUUUUUAAUUACAAAACAUUUAUGUUAAUUAAUUAAACUAGUGCAUGUUUGGAUACACUUUAUGUUUUCUAUUUUUAACUUUUAUAUAAAAUAUAGUAACUUUCAUAUAAAAUGUAUGAACUUACCAAAUAUCUUUAAAAAACACUUUUAAGAUUUGAGGUGGUAAAGUUUCUUUAAGAUCUCAAUUUUUUUAAACAGUAUUUAAAAGACAUCAUCUUUUUAAGUAACUCUCAAAAAGGUAUUGCAUUUUAUAUAAAAGUUAUUGUCAUUUUCUAUUUUUAAAAAUAUAAACAAGAAGUGUAUCCAAACAAACAACACAUUUUUAAAUUUUUAGUAUCUAUAAGGUAGAAGAUUAUAUGAACUUUUAGUUUUAUAUUUUAUUUUACUUUUAUAAUUUACAGUAUACAAGAUUUAUAAAUUUUUAGGCCAAAUGGGUUGUAAGUGGUUGGGGACAUAAUCAUGCCAUAUCGACACAAUUAACUAAAAAAGUUCCAUGGGUUGGACAUCCAAACAUAAACAUGACUUGUAUGUUAAAGGGGUUACAUUUAUAUAUAUAUAAGAAAGAAAUUGUAUUAAAAAGGCACAAAAAGAGCGCAAGAGUAUACAAGUUGCAUACAAGUAAAACAAAUAAAAAGUAGAAAAGAAGGUACAAAAAAAUACUCCCUCCCUCACCCAAUACCCAACCACUCUGAAAUCAAUUAAAUACAUAUAACCACCACCUAUAUACACCCUAACCCACAUAGAGAAAUUGUUUUGGAAUAAACUUUUUAGCCUUCGAUCAGACAAUGCCUCACCAUAAAAAAAUCUCCCUUAUAUUCCAUUGCAUUUUGCUUUACAAUUUCUAGGGUCCUAUAAUGGAAUUUAUCCAAAUUUCUUAGUACAAAAUCUUAGAUCAACUUUUACAAGAAAAGAAUAAUAUAUGGCAAGACAUUGAUUUUUAGGUUAUUCUUCUAACACUCCCCCUCAAGUUGGUACAAAGAUAUAUUUCAUCCCUAGCUUGUCUAAGAUUGCAUAAGAUGCUGAACUUGAUAAGCCCUUUGUUAAUAUGUCUGGAAACUGUUUAAAAAAGGUAACAAACAAACUGCAAAUCAGCCCGAUGUCAAGCUUUUCUUUAAUGAAAUGUCAAUCUAUCUCCACAUGCUUGAUUCAAUUGUGAUGAGUGAUAUUUAUGGAAACUUUGUUAUUGCAAUAUAGCUUUAUGGGUCCUUUCAAAGUGAUGUCCAAGCCUAUAAAAAUAAUCUUUAACUAGAGUAGUUCACAAAUCCCUUGAGCCAUGACCCUAAACUCAAGUUCUGCCCUAGAUCUAGCUAUUGUUGAUUACUUUUUACUUCUCCAGGUACAAUAUCCAAUAGUAAACCUUCAAUCAACAAUUGAUGCAGCCCAAUUAGCAUCACUGUGAGCUUCCAAUUCCAGCAGUCAGCAUCACUAUAUACUACCUCCAUGUGAGAUUCAUGUGGUGAAUGCAUGGAUUGGAUUACCACACCUAUAGCAUACACAAUGUCUGGUUGAGUAUGAGAUAAAUAAAUAGAUAAAUUGCCCCACGAAUCUUCAAUGGAUCAAAGAGGCCACAAUCUAACAUAUCAUCCUCUAUUUUUCCUUAUAGUUUAUGAUUUUGUUCAAUUUGAGUCUCUGCUGAUUUACAUCCUAACAUCCUUGUGCUCCACAAAAAAAUCAAGGACAUAUUUUGUGGGGAAAUAAAUAUUCUUCCUUUUGAGUGUCUCUUCAAUCUUGAGGAAAUACUUUAGACUCCCUAAAUCCUUGAUCUCAAAUUCAUUGGACAGAUAAGCUAUUAUUCUUUGAAUUCCCCCCUCAGAAUUUUGAGUGACAAUAAUGGCAUCCAUAUUAAUUAUCAAGGUGGUAAACUUAACAGAGGAGUUGUGUUUGAUACACAGUAUGUGAUCCCUGUGGCUUUGAUGAUAGUUCAUUUUUAUCAUUGAUUUUGAAAAUCUCUCAAACCAUGCUCUUAGAGACUAUUUAAGUCCAUAAAGGGACUUCUUAAGUUUGUAAACUUUGUUCUUCAAAGCCUUGUCACCAAACCCAAGAGAGGUAUCCAUGUAUACCUCUUCUUCCAAGUCGCCAUGUAAGAAAACAUUCUUCACAUCAAAUCUACAAAGGCAAUCAAGAUUAGCAGCUAAAGACGUGUAAUACAAACAGUACCCAUCAAAAAAUAUAUAAUAAUAAUAGUGUUCAUUUUUCCAUGGGUGCAAAGGUCUCUUAGUAGUCAUCACCAUAAGUUCUAGUGAAUACCUUGGCUACCAACUUAGCCUUAAACCUUUCCAUUGUCCCAUAAGCCCUGUAUUUAAUUGUAAAAAUCCACUUACAAUCUAUUGUUUUCUUCCCUUUGGGCAAUUCAAUUAUAUCUCAUGUCUUGUUCUUUUUUGCAUCUCUUCAUUAAUUGCUUUCCUCCAAUUCUUAUUUCUAAGUGCCUCUCAAACUGUGUUUGGAAUUUCAAUCGAAGACAUUUGGAUAAUAAGGGCUUACUAUGUAGAAGACAAAUUUAAUUCAAUUACUCUUUACCUAUAAAAAAAAUGUAGAAAAUGAGCGAUGUAAUAAGGUAAAAUUUAUGAUGCAUAUAUCUUCUAAUGCCUUUCUUGAUGGAAUAAGCCAACACAAAUCAUCGUAGACACUAGAAUGAUGAUGGGAUAUGGGAGGAUGCUAUAGAUUUUUCCUUUCUCGAAUGCCCUAUUAGUUUAAAGGUAUUUGCUCAAACUAUGUGUUACCUCUCCUUGACUUGAUCCUCAUAUUCAUUGGUUGGAAUUUCAAUGGACAAAUCAUCUAAAAUUUCCUCAAAAUUUGAUGCUAAUUUAUUCGAAAUUUAUUGGAAUUUCUCAUGUUCAUUGGCUAAUCCAUUAAAGGCAUCCAAGGUUGGAACAUUUGAAACAACAAGAAACAUUGGUGCAAAAUUUGAACAUUAUGGGGCUGAAAAAUCUUAGAUAAUAGGGAAAAUUGAUGUGAAAUCUAAAGUAAAGACAUUUGGCACAUCAACCAACUGGGGAAGGACACCCUCAUCAUUCAUAGCAACAACUUUUGAUAUCUUAUCUUCAAUUCCUCCAAUCUCCCCCUUGAAGAUAAGUGUGUAUGAAAUAAGAUUAACUUUCAAAGAAGGUGUUAUCCUUGGUGAUAUAUAGUCUUUUUGUGAGAUGAUGGUAGCACUUAUAUCCCUUUUAAGUAGAGGAAUAUCCAAGAAAGACACACCUAAGAUCUCUUGGAUCAAGUCUAUCUCUAGAUUGUUUGGGAAUGUGAAUGAAAGAGACAAACCCAAGUGUUUUUUGAGGAAGGGAUUCAAUACCCUUAAAGUUAGGAAAAGACUUGGAGAGUACACAAAUAAGAGAUUGAAGUCAAAGAUUUGAGAAGGCAUUCAAUUUAUUAGGAAUAUAGCAAUCAAAAUGACUUCACCUUAAUACAAUUGUGAAUCAUUCAUUUGAAAAAGUAAAAGCACCUAGCAACUUCCAAGAGAUGUCUAUUUUUCCUCUCUACUACCCUUUUUGUUGAGGGGGUAUCUACACAUGAAGAUUAAUGCACAACACUUUCAUAUUGAAGAUAAGUGUCCCUCCCAUUAUCUAACCUUCAGGUAUGGAUUUUGGCACCAAAUUGAGUAAAAACCAAUUUAUGGAAUAUUAGGAAAAUGGAAUUAACUUCAUAUUUGAAAUUUAGGAGAUAGACCCAAGUGGGUAGGAGUGUAGACAUCAAUGAAAGUAACAAACUAUCUAGAACUCGAAAUAUUUGGUAUUCUGGAGGGAACAUCCAAAGGUAUUAAACUAAAAGGAGAAAAAAAAAAUCCAUUUCUUAUUGGAAAAGGCACAUGGUGGUGUUUUACAAACUCAUUAACCUGGCAGUGAAAAUCCCAUGCCAAACAAUGCAGGAAACAUUUUUUCCAAGAGAAAGAAAGGUGGGUGUCCCAACCAUCUGUGUCAUAAUUAUAUUUGAUCAACUUUUGAGGGAUUAUUAGUGGUAACAAGAGCUUGUGGAAUAGGAUCACUAAUCUUCCAAAGUGUAUUAAGGUGGUAGAUCCACAUUUACCCUUACCAUGCUGUAAUGUUACUAACAAAUAAGAGAUUACAAGAAAAGAUUGGAACAUGAAACACAUUUUUCAAGAAUAAAGGAGUAAUGAAGAAAGUGUCAUUGGGAACAUGUAAAGCAUAUUUCAAGGACAAAGGAAUGGAGAUUAUGCCUUGACUAACCAUGGAAGAAAAGUAGAAAAAUAAUUGGAGUUACUUGUCAUAGGGUUGGUACCACUCGAAUCUAUGAUCCAAAUACUAGAUAAACAAUCCUUAUAGACACUUAAAGCUUUGAUAUUACUUGUUUGGACAAAUGAACAUGAGGUAGUAUUUGCAGUAGGACUUUGUGCAUGUGUUUCAAGCCGGCUAAGAAGUGUUUUCAGCUUUUCAAAAUGGUCCUCGUUGAGCAAAAUAGUUUAUUGUUUAGUGACAGGGAUGGUUUCAUGAGAAACAUCAACAAUGGCCACUUGAUGCACCUAUCUGGAUCUUAUGGCAUGUUUUCCUCCUCUACCACUCCCCCUUUUUACUUCCUAAUGGAGGUUUGCCAUGGAGUUUCCAGCAAGAUUCAUGUGUAUGUCUUGGUUUAUGACAAUAAUCACACCAAAGUGAAUCUUUAUCAUUUGGUAUCCUUCCUUCUCCUUUAGGUGCCAUUGGCUUCAAAUUUCCAACAGUAGUUAAUGAUAAAUUUUUUAGAGUAAAGCCUCCAAGCAUCACAACUCAACACCUCACUUCUCCAAUCAUGUAGGUAUACACCUCUUUCAUGGAUGGAAGAGGUUGUUUCCCCAAUAUUUGUUCUCUUACUUAAUCUAAUUCUGGAUUAAGACCAGCCAAGAAUUCAAAUACACCCUCUUGCUCCAUUAUUUUCUUCACUAUGGCAGUAUCCACAACAGCUACAUUUCUGUGUCAAUAAUAAUUGCAGCCAUAAACUCAAAGUUUGUGGUAAUAUUCAAUCAGAGCCCAACUUCCCUGCUUAAUUAGCAUGAAUUUAACACUACAACUCAUAUAUUGUGCUGUCAUUCUAAUCUUUGAAUAAGUUUGACUGACACAUCCCAACUCUCUUUAGCAGUGGAGAGAAACAAGUACAUUUGGCUAAUCUUCGACUACAUGGAGUGUAGUAGCCAAGACAUGAUUGUUGAAUUUUCCUCAUCCCAAAAUUCAUAUCUUAGAUCAUUGGAGUCAGGUUUUGAUUUAGAACCUAUGAUAUAGCCAUCUUUCCUUUUUCAUUUGAUGAAAAGUUUAGUUGAUUGGGACCAUUGCAGGACAUUCUGGCCAUGGACUUUUUGAGUGGUGAUUUGGAGUGUGGGUUGUCAUUAUGAAUAGUGGAUAAAAAUGGAAGUAUUUAGAAUAUUAGAGGGGGGUUCAAAGGUAGGGUUGCUCAAGAGGAUGAUGUAUUUUCAAUGGGUUUUAGACAUUUUGGGGAAAUGAAGACAAAGUAUCUAGUUUGUGGAGAAAAUGAGUCUCAAACUCAAGGGAAUUAUAAUGGGGAACUAAGUCACCAACAAUUAAUGCUAGUUUGGGAAGAAAAACAAGUGAACAAUGAAGGUUGUUUAUGACUGAGCAAUGAAGUCUCUACGAAUCAUGGUCGUGUUAGACUUCUCUUAUACCAUGUUGGAAAAAAAAAGGUAAUCUCCCUUGUAUUCCAUUGCAUUUUGAUUUACAAUAUAUACAAAAAAAGGGUUGACAAGAUCCCUUAAAUUAUGCAAUCUGAUUUCUAGGUUCCUAUUAUGGAAUUUACCCAUUUUGACAGGCAAAUCAGGGGUGGCAGUAGAGGAUGGAGGAUGGAGAUAUAGGAAGCAUACAAGAAACAAGCAAAAGAAAAUAAAUCCAACAAAUAAAGGCUAAGCCAUGGCCUGCACAGAGCAUCAAACCACCUCUAAAUCAAGAAGUAGUUACAAGCUUGGCCAAAAUAUAUCAGUGGUACUUCUCUAUCAAGAUGCAGCAACAACCAACCUUCUAACUUUGUCAACGACUUUAUUGAAAGCACUUGCAGUAGAUCCUUGAUAGCUUCUUCUGACAUCCCAAGAGACUUUAAUUCUUUGGUAAUCUCGUCUAUGGGUAUCUUUUCCAUCUGUUUCCAAAUUCACACCACCCGAAGAAAAAGGGAAAAAUUAUAGGAUGAAAAAAACAGAGAAGGAAACAUCAACAAUCAGGAGGCGCAUGCACAAAUGUAUUCAUACAAGCAAUGAACAAAAGACUAAUAAAUAAGAUGGCAUAAUCCUUUUGCAAGGAAGGCAUCAUUAAACUGAAUUAAAAAUUGUCAUCCAAUGAAAGAACACAGUUCAAGGACCCCAUCACAAACUCAGAAUAAUCUGAUAAAUGUUGAACUGGAAGUGAUGCAUGUUCACAAAAAAAUAAUAAUAAUAAUAAAAUAAAUAAAUAAAUAAAAACAACUAGCUCCUUCCAACUGGACAAAAGGACAAGUAUAUAGGUAUUUGUGCACAAAGCUCACUUUGAGUAAGCUACUAAUUCAUGUCACAAACAAAUCAAUAAGUAAACGCAAACUGGGUUCAUUGAAUGAAUUUUUUGACCAGAAGAUAAUCAAAUAUUGCAUCUUAAACAAAUCAAGAAGUAAACGCAAGCUUAAUCAAGACAUACUAUAAAAACUACAAUCCGGGCUCAAUGCCUCCAAACUGUUGCAAAUAAAAAUAGCUGUGAAGCUGACAAACCCUUGUUGCCACAAAAAUGGGGAAUUGAAAUCAUCCACAAUGAAUAGUCUCAGAAAAUGAAGUAGACCAAGUCCUACAAGGCAUUGACCAACCUCACUCAUUUACUUUGCCAAACAGUGUAUAAAUUCCCCUGAUUUAAGGGCAGAAAACUUUAUAUGCUAUAAGUCUAUUGGAAAAACAUUUUGGCAAACAAAACAAUUUCCUUCCAAGAAAAGAGCGCAAAGGAAAAUCCAAAAGUGGCAUUCCUAUCAAAAAAAAAAAAAAAAAAAUCCAAAAGUGGCACAAAGAAAUCCACAACAUGUAUGUAGAUAAAAAUAAACUGGAUAGCCAUCCAGUUAUAGAGAGCAGUUCUACUACAUCCCCAAUGCCAAGAAUCUAUCUCUAAAACAUGAUAAGAAACAAGCCAUGAAAUAACACUCAUUGGCCAUACUCUACAUCAGCAAAACUUUUGAGUUUGUUAAAAGUCAACAACUGAACUUUCACUUUUUAGACUCUGAAGUUGCUAAGGAAGAAACUAUCUGUCCAUUUAUCCCCAGAUAAUUGGAGGUGAACAAUUUUAUUUAACAUUCAUGGUUGUAUUUAUCAUUCCUGAAUGAUUGAAUAUCAAUGAGUCAUUCUUGAGUAAUCCUAAGAAGGCACUUCCAUUGGCCUAAGCCUCUAUUAGGCUCCACUAUCAUAGAAUGAAAUCAAGUUGCAACACAGCAUCCAGCAUUUUGACCAAAAGCAGGAGGAUCUAGUGAUAUUUGGUACUCUAACAAAAAAAUUUCAAUUUAAAUCUGUAUCAAAUAGGAAUUUUCAAUAAGAAAUUAUGACGAAUUUUUCUCUUAGGCUAUACUUGGCUCCCCGAAAAUUUGAGGGAAAAUGCGAAAAAAGAAAAUAGAGAGGAAAAGUAAAAUGAAAAAAAAAAUUAAAGUUAAUAAAUUAUUUUUAGAUAUCACUUUUUUUUAAUAGAAACAGAAGAUACAUAUUAAUAAAAGUUGAAAAAAAAGAUGAGAGAUCCUUUCCACAAAAUAAAAGAACUGAUCAAAGUAGGACUACACUUCUCCACCAUACAAGAAGAACUAUACACAUAGGCAUACACAUCUCACUUCGAAUUCAUUUCACUUAUUUUAACUCUUCUAUAUAAAGAUUAGAUUAUUCGAAGAUACAUAAGUUUCUAAUUAAUAUUAAUUUCAUUUUAUUUUAUUUUGUACUUUCAAUAGUAAAAUGAAACAAAAGAAAGUCAUUUUCCUUAGCAUUUUUUUUUCUUUCUUUAGUAUUUUUUAAGAACAAAAGCUAGUCUUAAAGACGGAGAAAAAGAAUAACCAAAUUUUUUAGACAGUUGAACUUCCAUUAAAGAGAUAAUUUGAAAUAGAAAAUUAAAACUUUGCCCAUAGGUUCAAAUUUAGCAAUCGAAGAACUAAUACUCCUGGAAGAGGAAGUUAUACUCCUAAUAGGGAUGCACAUGGUUCACUUUAGGUCAGCUUUUAACCAACGCGAGAACAGAUCCAAGCUAAUCGGUUUUCGCUUAGGACUAAUUUAUUUAUCGACUGAAACCAACCCAAUUUAACAUUGAUUCAAUUUGACUUGGUUUGGUUUAUUCAGUUUGGGGCCAAUAUUUUUUGGAAAAAUGGCAGGCAUGGAUUUACUUAAAAACUAUAAAGGAUAAGUUGAGUAAAGAAAAUUCAUUUAAGAAAAACAAAGAGAAAGUUGGACGUAUAAUACAUUUCAAAAAGAUGCUUAGAUUAAAGUACUUGUUAAGAGAGAGAGAGAAGAAAACCUUGAUUCUCAUUCAUUGUGUCUACUUACAAUUGAGAAAAUAUAUAUAUACAAGGUUAGGAGUCCUAACUACCAUACAUGUGACCUAUAUUAAAAAGGAAAGAUUGUACACUAUAAAUUCAUUAUAUCCAACACUCCCCCUCAACCUGGAGCAUAUACGUCAUAUGCACCAAGCCUGUUACAAAUGUAUUUAAUCCUAGGACCUCUGAGAGAUUUAGUGAAGAUGUCUGCUAGUUGAUCAUUUGAAUUAACAAAACUUGUAGCAACACAUCCUGAUGCGAUCUUCUCUCUAAUGAAGUGACAGUCAACUUCAAUAUGUUUGGUCCUUUCAUGAAAGACUGGAUUGGAUGCAAUAUGUAAUGCGGCCUAGUUAUCACAGAUGAGUUUCAUCUGUUCAUCCUUUCCAAAUCUCAACUCUCGAAGAAGAUGUCUCAACCAUAUGAGUUCACAUGUUGCCAAAGUCAUAGCUCGAUACUCAGUUUCAGCACUAGAUCUGGCCACUAUAUCUUGUUUCUUACUCUUCCAAGAUAUUAGAUUACCUCCAAUAAAAACACAGCACCCUGAAGUGGAACGUCUAUCUGUGGGUGAGCCAGCCCAAUCUGCAUUUGUGUAACCAACAACCUGAGUAUGACCUCUGUUCUCGUACAACACACCUUGGUCUGGUGUACUUUUGAUAUAUCGAAGAAUGCGGAUUACGGCAUCCCAAUGGCUAUCACAUGGUGACUGUAGGAAUUGACUAACAACACUCAUAGGAAAAGAAAUAUCUGGACGAGUAAUGGUGAGAUAGUUCAAUUUACCUACGAGUCGUCGAUAUCUCCCAGGGUCUCCUAAAGGCUCCCCCUGUCCUGGUACAAGUUUGACAUUCGGAUCCAUAGGUGUGUCUAUCGGUUUACAGUCUAACAUAUCAAUUUCUUCCAGGAUGUCUAAAGCAUACUUCCUUUGGGAAAGGACCACACCGGAACUGAAUUGAGCUAUCUCAAUUCCCAAGAAAUACUUGAGUUUCCCCAAGUCUUUGGUCUGAAAGUGGGUAAAAAGAUGUUGCUUUAGUUUCUGACGACGAUUCGACCGACCGGAAAGCUUUGGGGUUUGGGGAAGGUGACCGGAAUGAAACACGGUCACAAGAAGGUUUCCUGGAAUUGAUGACACGGGGAAACUGGAAAGAAUUAGGUUUUCUCCCUUGGCUCUGAUACCAUGUUAAGAGAGAGAGAGAAGAAAACCUUGAUUCUCAUUCAUUAUGUCUACUUACAAUUGAGAAAAUAUAUAUAUAUAAGGCUAGGAGUCCUAACUACCAUACAUGUGACCUAUAUUAAAAAAGAAAAAUUGUACACUAUAAAUUCAUUAUAUUCAACAGUACUUAUUAAGAGUUAUUCCUCAUACAGAUAAAUAAAAAUUCAACAACUAACGAUUCCUUUGUUAGUUCAACAACUAAACAUUUGGUAGAAAAAACAAUUAAUUAUUUGCAUUGUGCAUUAGAGUCAAUUCAAUUCAAAUUGGUUUCAAAUAUUGAUAACCCACAAACCAAACCAAAAUUUCUAGCCAAUAAAAUUGAAAUUUUUGAAAAAAAAAAAAAAAACAACUUGAUUUAAUUUGUUUUGGUUCUUUUGAGUACACCAAUUUGCCCCUUUUUUGGCCCCACCCCUUAACUUCUACUUGGUGCAAGUUUAACAAAAUUCACUAACAGGCCUUUAUACAAAACUUACUUCUAUAUACAUUUUUUGAUAGGAAACAACAAAUAUAUAUAUUGAAAGAAUAAGAAGUACAAAAGAAGGAUGAGGAAUCCUCCCACCAAAGAUAAAACUAAACAACACAUUAAA